GAGUGGCGGACGGGUGAGUAAUGCUUGGGAAUCUACCCAGUAGCGGGGGACAACCUAGGGAAACUUAGGCUAAUACCGCAUAAGCCACGGGGGAAAGCGGGGGAUCGUAAGGCACUAUUGGAUGAGCCCAAGUCGGAUUAGCUUGUUGGUGGGGUAACGGCCUACCAAGGCUACGAUCCGUAGCUGGUCUGAGAGGACGAUCAGCCACACUGGGACUGAGACACGGCCCAGACUCCUACGGGAGGCAGCAGUGGGGAAUAUUGGACAAUGGGGGCAACCCUGAUCCAGCAAUGCCGCGUGUGUGAAGAAGGCCUGCGGGUUGUAAAGCACUUUCAGUAGGGAAGAAAAGCCUGGGGCUAAUACCCUCGGGUUUUGACGUUACCUAAAGAAGAAGCACCGGCUAACUCCGUGCCAGCAGCCGCGGUAAUACGGAGGGUGCGAGCGUUAAUCGGAAUUACUGGGCGUAAAGCGCACGUAGGUGGUUGGGUAAGUCGGAUGUGAAAGCCCUGGGCUUAACCUGGGAACUGCAUUCGAUACUGCCCGGCUAGAGUAUGGGAGAGGGAGGCGGAAUUUCCGGUGUAGCGGUGAAAUGCGUAGAUAUCGGAAGGAACACCAAUGGCGAAGGCAGCUUCCUGGCCCAAUAC
RNAcentral lists this ribosomal RNA (644 nucleotides) under uncultured bacterium. RNAcentral describes it as "bacterial SSU rRNA". It matches the Rfam family "Bacterial small subunit ribosomal RNA", at positions 93 to 740 of the family's 1533-position model. The record is from RNAcentral.